This 445-nucleotide long non-coding RNA is filed under the name Junco hyemalis (dark-eyed junco). Its description in RNAcentral is "lncRNA (ENSJHYG00000014696.1)". Lineage: Eukaryota; Metazoa; Chordata; Aves; Passeriformes; Passerellidae. The record is from RNAcentral.
GCGGCCUCUGAGCCCCACCAACGCCCCUCCCUGCUCUGUCCCCUGCAGCUCCUGUCUGAGAAUGGCAGGGAUGGCGUGAUGCCCCCCACGCAGGAACUGCCCCUCAGUGCCAGCCUGCAGCUGGCCACCGGCCGCCGGCCCCGGCUCAGCCUCUCCCAGGACACCCUCAGCGCCCUGCUGGAGCAGGGCCAGGGCCAGGGCACCCUCAACCUCAGCAUCACCAGCCUGGCGGGCGGCAAUUCCCCUCUGCAAGGCCAGGUCACCCAGAGCAGCUCGCUGACCGUGUCUGCCCUUUUCCCCUUCAUCCCCCAGCUCAGCCGGGCCCUCCCUGGCUCCCUGCCCCUGGAGCUGCGUGUCCGAGUGAGGGAUGAGCCAGUGGUGGCUGUGAGGGAUGGAAGGGCCACUGUCACCCUCAGAGCCACUAUUGAUGUCGCCAGCCCUGCCC